UUCCAGACUCCUACGGGAGGCAGCAGUGGGGGAUAUUGCACAAUGGGGGGAACCCUGAUGCAGCGACGCCGCGUGGGUGAAGAAGCGCCUCGGCGCGUAAAGCCCUGUCAGCAGGGAAGAAAAUGACGGUACCUGAAGAAGAAGCCCCGGCUAACUACGUGCCAGCAGCCGCGGUAAUACGUAGGUGGCAAGCGUUGUCCGGAUUUACUGGGUGUAAAGGGCGCGUAGCCGGGCUGACAAGUCAGAUGUGAAAUCCGGGGGCCCAACCCCCGAACUGCUCUGGAAACUGUGCGGCUAGAGUACUGGAGGGGCAGGCGGAAUUCCUAGUGUAGCGGUGAAAUGCGUAGAUAUUAGGAGGAACACCAGUGGCGAAGGCGGCCUGCUGGACAGUAACUGACGUUGAGGCUCGAAAGCGUGGGGAGCAAACAGGAUUAGAUACCCGCGUACG
RNAcentral lists this ribosomal RNA (448 nucleotides) under uncultured bacterium. RNAcentral describes it as "bacterial SSU rRNA". It matches the Rfam family "Bacterial small subunit ribosomal RNA", at positions 329 to 793 of the family's 1533-position model. The record is from RNAcentral.